AAGACAACGACACUGUCUCCGGUAUAAGAUUCCAUUUGAAGUACUGCUUCUUCCUUUCUUGCCUCGUAGAUGCUAUCACAUUAGCAUUCAAGAUGUUGUCUCCAAAGCUGAUCCGUUGAAGUCGUUCCCUGUGAUAUAUGCAACAGAAUAUCGUUAUCUCACAC
Molecule: long non-coding RNA, 164 nt
Organism: Trifolium pratense (red clover)
Lineage: Eukaryota; Viridiplantae; Streptophyta; Magnoliopsida; Fabales; Fabaceae
Exons: 3
Source: RefSeq, a predicted model, not a curated record